Molecule: ribosomal RNA, 253 nt
Filed under: uncultured bacterium
Lineage: Bacteria
Description: partial 16S ribosomal RNA
Rfam family: Bacterial small subunit ribosomal RNA
Source: RNAcentral
UACGGGGGGGGCAAGCGUUGUUCGGAAUUACUGGGCGUAAAGGGCUCGUAGGCGGCCAACUAAGUCAGACGUGAAAUCCCUCGGCUUAAUCGGGGAACUGCGUCUGAUACUGGAUGGCUUGAGAUUGGGAGAGGGAUGCGGAAUUCCAGGUGUAGCGGUGAAAUGCGUAGAUAUCUGGAGGAACACCGGUGGCGAAGGCGGCAUCCUGGACCAACACUGACGCUGAGGAGCGAAAGCCAGGGGAGCAAACGGG